CAUAAAGGAUGUUAGCCGUUAUCACAUCCAUGCGAUAACGGCUAACUGACCUGCAUCUUGCAGG
This 64-nucleotide small RNA is filed under the name Lysinibacillus xylanilyticus. RNAcentral describes it as "Bacillaceae-1 RNA". It matches the Rfam family "Bacillaceae-1 RNA". The record is from RNAcentral. Lineage: Bacteria; Bacillati; Bacillota; Bacilli; Caryophanales; Bacillaceae.